AUGGAUCUGAGAACGCUGUCUGGGCUUGGUGCCAAGGGCUGGUAUUUCACAGCAGCGACCGCCUCACAGACGAGCUGUGGGAAGCAGGAGGGAGACUCUCUCUUAGGGUGCCACUACUAUGGAGACACAGCUGGGCUGAACAAGAUUUGCUUCAAACGACAACAAGAGAGACAGAAAGUAUCUGGUUCAACCGCUGCCCGAGCAGGCAGGCACCAGAAGAGCUAGCAGCCAAUCCGGCCAUGCUCGAAGCCAGCUCUGCAGCUCAGCCAAUCAGUGACAUCAUUGCUUUCUUUAGCUUGCCCAUGGUGAUGUGAAGAUGAGAAGAAAUAGCAAGGCCCAACCAGUUCUUCAUCUGGAGACAGUUCAACGUUCUGCAAACCAGAUCUUCAGGAAUUUUACUGGGAUAAUUAUCCAAAUAAAUUGCAAGCAUUCUAUCCAAAUGGAGCUCUUUCUGAGAUGAAGAGAAUUCUCAAUGUCAAGAUUUGAACAAGAAGAGAAUGGAAUACACAAUAUGGACAUCCAUAAAAAUUCAUCAGAGAGCAUUUUACUACUGAGCUGCAAAGAUGACAAGAGCACCUCAAAGGCAGCAGCCUCAAGGAGCAGCCAUGGCCCCAGACUUGUCGCACGGAUGCAGAAAACUUAAUGGAGGAGGCUGAGGUCAGAAUGGGAAGAGUUUUUAAAAAAUAAAAAGGGGAGCUAA
This 700-nucleotide long non-coding RNA is filed under the name Pan troglodytes (chimpanzee). Its description in RNAcentral is "lincRNA". Lineage: Eukaryota; Metazoa; Chordata; Mammalia; Primates; Hominidae. The record is from RNAcentral.